AGUAAUCGCGGAUCAGCACGCCGCGGUGAAUACGUUCCCGGGCCUUGUACACACCGCCCGUCACACCAUGGAAGUCUGCAAUGCCCGAAGCCGGUGGCCUAACCACUUAUGUGGAAGGAGCCGUCUAAGGCAGGGCAGAUGACUGGGGUGAAGUCGUAACAAGGUACC
Molecule: ribosomal RNA, 168 nt
Filed under: uncultured bacterium
Lineage: Bacteria
Description: partial 16S ribosomal RNA
Rfam family: Bacterial small subunit ribosomal RNA
Source: RNAcentral